This 492-nucleotide ribosomal RNA is filed under the name uncultured bacterium. Its description in RNAcentral is "partial 16S ribosomal RNA". It matches the Rfam family "Bacterial small subunit ribosomal RNA", at positions 29 to 507 of the family's 1533-position model. The record is from RNAcentral.
AGUGAACGCUGGCGGUAGGCCUAACACAUGCAAGUCGAACGGCAGCACAGUAAGAGCUUGCUCUUACGGGUGGCGAGUGGCGGACGGGUGAGGAAUACAUCGGAAUCUACUUUUUCGUGGGGGAUAACGUAGGGAAACUUACGCUAAUACCGCAUACGACCUACGGGUGAAAGCAGGGGAUCUUCGGACCUUGCGCGAUUGAAUGAGCCGAUGUCGGAUUAGCUAGUUGGCGGGGUAAAGGCCCACCAAGGCGACGAUCCGUAGCUGGUCUGAGAGGAUGAUCCGCCACACUGGAACUGGGACACGGUCCAGACUCCUACGGGAGGCAGCAGUGGGGAAUAUUGGACAAUGGGCGCAAGCCUGAUCCAGCCAUACCGCGUGGGUGAAGAAGGCCUUCGGGUUGUAAAGCCCUUUUGUUGGGAAAGAAAAGCAGCAGGUUAAUACCCCGCUGUUCUGACGGUACCCAAAGAAUAAGCACCGGCUAACUUCGUG